Molecule: long non-coding RNA, 1373 nt
Organism: Oncorhynchus keta (chum salmon)
Lineage: Eukaryota; Metazoa; Chordata; Actinopteri; Salmoniformes; Salmonidae
Exons: 3
Source: RefSeq, a predicted model, not a curated record
AGCUUCAGAUAAUUUAAUGGCAAAAUUAGGGUUCUGGGAACUUUACCGAGAUUCCCAGGUUUUCCAAAAAUCCCGGCUGUAGGAUUCCGGAUUCCUGGCUUAUUCCCCCCCAGUUCAGGGAAUCUUCCAUCCAGGAUUUAUGGAAAACCUGUGACGUUUGGGAAAGUAGCUGGAAUUUUGCAACUUUAGCCCAAAAUAAUGAUUUCUCCCACAAGAGGGUCAUCAGAUCCAUAUAAUAUUCAACAAUAGUGGAUCUGUAACGCAGAUGUUUCAGGGGUCCAAGCUUGUGUGAGGAAUAAACUUGUCCCCAGGAACUGAAGACUUGCGUUAGCUCCCUUGCGGUAGCUUACCUUAGCAUUAGCUCAGCGGGAUAACACUGUCUUGUGGUACUCAGGAAACCUGGGUUUGAAUCCCGGAUGGUUACACACAUAGAGAUAGUAUAGAGAUUGCAUCGUUGUAUCUGUCCCAUUAGGCCAUCUCCAUUUUGAAGUAGUCCAUUUUCUUCUUCUACUAUCUCUAUGAGUUGGUUAACAAACUGAAAGGGUUCAUACAGUCAUCUGGAGGGUGUUUGAACAGGUAUGAAGCCAAGGCUGGUGGUUUACUGCCACCUGGAGGGUGUUUGAACAGGUAUGAAGCCAAGGCUGGUGAUUUACUGCCACCUGGAGGGUGUUUGAACAGGUAUGAAGCCAAGGCUGGUGAUUUACUGCCACCUGGAGGGUGUUUGAACAGGUAUGAAGCCAAGGCUGGUGAUUUACUGCCACCUGGAGGGUGUUUGAACAGGUAUGAAGCCAAGGCUGGUGGUUUACUGCCACCUGGAGGGUGUUUGAACAGGUAUGAAGCCAAGGCUGGUGAUUUACUGCCACCUGGAGGGUGUUUGAACAGGUAUGAAGCCAAGGCUGGUGGUUUACUGCCACCUGGAGGGUGUUUGAACAGGUAUGAAGCCAAGGCUGGUGAUUUACUGCCACCUGGAGGGUGUUUGAACAGGUAUGAAGCCAAGGCUGGUGAUUUACUGCCACCUGGAGGGUGUUUGAACAGGUAUGAAGCCAAGGCUGGUGGUUUACUGCCACCUGGAGGGUGUUUGAACAGGUAUGAAGCCAAGGCUGGUGAUUUACUGCCACCUGGAGGGUGUUUGAACAGGUAUGAAGCCAAGGCUGGUGGUUUACUGCCACCUGGAGGGUGUUUGAACAGGUAUGAAGCCAAGGCUGGUGAUUUACUGCCACCUGGAGGGUGUUUGAACAGGUAUGAAGCCAAGGCUGGUGAUUUACUGCCACCUGGAGGGUGUUUGAACAGGUAUGAAGCCAAGGCUGGUGGUUUACUGCCACCUGGAGGGUGUUUGAACAGGUAUGAAGCCAAGGCUGGUGAUUUACUGCCAU